GUCCCUUCUCAGAAGGGACUCACUGACUAUUCCGUAAUGUUUCCAAAACAUGAUGCAGCCUGAGGUGUGGUUUUGGGUGUCUGAGAAGCAAAGAAGCAUGAAAUGAAGCAGGACAUCAAGCUUGCUUUUGCCUGAAGACCCACGAGCUUUGAGGUGAAUGUUGGAAGUGCUAUAUGAAGGUGAGCUACUGUACAUCUCUUCCUCAUUCUACAUUCAAUGACAUCAUGUUGUGAUACCAAAGGAAGAAAUUGACCUAAUAACCAGCCUAGGAUCCUGAAACAUCUGGGGACUAUCACAGAAGAAACAGAAUUA
Molecule: long non-coding RNA, 312 nt
Organism: Heterocephalus glaber (naked mole-rat)
Lineage: Eukaryota; Metazoa; Chordata; Mammalia; Rodentia; Bathyergidae
Source: Ensembl